AGUGAACGCUGGCGGUAGGCCUAACACAUGCAAGUCGAACGGCAGCACAGUAAGAGCUUGCUCUUACGGGUGGCGAGUGGCGGACGGGUGAGGAAUACAUCGCAAUCUACUUUUUCGUGGGGGAUAACGUAGGGAAACUUACGCUAAUACCGCAUACGACCUACGGGUGAAAGCAGGGGAUCUUCGGACCUUGCGCGAUUGAAUGAGCCGAUGUCGGAUUAGCUAGUUGGCGGGGUAAAGGCCCACCAAGGCGACGAUCCGUAGCUGGUCUGAGAGGAUGAUCAGCCACACUGGAACUGAGACACGGUCCAGACUCCUACGGGAGGCAGCAGUGGGGAAUAUUGGAUAAUGGGCGCAAGCCUGAUCCAGCCAUACCGCGUGGGUGAAGAAGGCCUUCGGGUUGUAAAGCCCUUUUGUUGGGAAAGAAAAGCAGCAGGUUAAUACCCCGCUGUUCUGACGGUACCCAAAGAAUAAGCACCGGCUAACUUCGUG
RNAcentral lists this ribosomal RNA (492 nucleotides) under uncultured bacterium. RNAcentral's name for it is "partial 16S ribosomal RNA". It matches the Rfam family "Bacterial small subunit ribosomal RNA", at positions 29 to 507 of the family's 1533-position model. The record is from RNAcentral.